GUGAGUACCCGGGGGCCCACCUCUCCGGCCGCACUCUCCCCUCUCAAGAGCUGGGCGGUGGUGGGAGGAGGAGGACGGGAAAACCGGCGAUGCCUCUGGGGUUUCUAGGUCGCGCGUCUGUUAACCGCAAACCGCCCAAAGUUAAGAUAGAGCAGCUCCCAGGACUUUCUUGACUACAGCGAUUUUGAUUGAAGUUUAGCCACCGUCUUUUCCAUUUUUAGAAAAGCUAUUCCGAAGUUUGGAAUGUUGACGAUGGUCGUGUUAUUUUUAACUUCCUGAUAUUUGAACGGCCAGGUGUCAGCGACCAUCCUUCCGUUCCACAGAAGCGUCUCUGAAGUUUGGGUCGGAUGCGCGGGGAACCCGCGGCAGGCGCGGGGAGGAGGCCUUGGCUAGGGCGCCGGCGAGGUUCGAGUUUGCCAGCCCCCCAACCUGGAAGAGAAGGGCCAGCCCCUCACACCCGGAAGGGAAGGGCCAGUCCCCCCAACACCUGGCGCCGAGGUCGCGGGGUUGCAGGGCGAGCGCGGGGUCGCGGCGAGCACGAGUACGGGUCCUCUCUGAUCGCUGGGCCUCGGCGCUGGCUGCUGAGUUUUUCCUUCUUUAAGGAAAUGUGAAACUGGUCUCAAUCGGUUGACCACCGUAAGGAAAUGGGAUUUACACUGUGGACAGAGAUGUGUCCUUUUCACUUCAUUUGAACCAAUAUGCCCGUGCCCCCGUGGAGGCUGAGUUGGAAAGUGACACGAAGCUGCCCCCACAAGAGAGCAGUGAAUAACCCUAUACCUUCCAAUUUGAAAUCAGAAGCAAAAAAGGCUGCCAAAAUAUUAAGAGAAUUCACAGAAAUAACUUCCAGAAAUGGACCUGAUAAGAUCAUUCCUGCUCACGUAAUUGCAAAGGCUAAAGGCCUUGCAAUUCUGUCUGUGAUCAAAGCCGGGUUCCUGGUGACUGCCAGAGGAGGCAGCGGGAUUGUAGUGGCGCGCCUUCCAGAUGGAAAGUGGUCUGCACCCUCAGCCAUUGGGAUAGCUGGCCUUGGUGGGGGAUUUGAAAUAGGAAUUGAGGUAUCAGACUUGGUGAUAAUUCUGAAUUAUGACCGUGCUGUAGAAGCUUUUGCAAAAGGUGGAAAUCUAACCCUUGGAGGGAACUUGACUGUGGCGGUUGGGCCCUUGGGAAGGAACUUGGAAGGAAAUGUGGCCCUGAGAAACUCCGAUGCCGUCUUCACCUACUGCAAGUCGAGGGGACUCUUUGCAGGCGUGUCUUUAGAAGGGAGCUGUUUGAUUGAAAGGAAAGAAACUAAUAGAAAAUUUUAUUGUCAAGAUAUCCGAGCUUAUGACAUUUUAUUUGGAGAUACACCGCGGCCUGCUCAAGCCGAAGAUCUUUAUGAAAUUCUUGAUUCCUUUACUGAAAAGUAUGAAAAUGAAGGACAACGAAUCAAUGCAAGAAAAGCAGCAAGGGAGCAGAGGAAGUCUUCUGUACUGUUUGGUUUUAUGUUUCACUCAGAAUUCUCAGAAAAUCUCUUUCUGUAGAACAUUCUGUCCCUGAUAUCAGGUUCCUAAGAACCUACUAAGCCUCCUUCGUAGUUUCACUGACUUCACGUUCUUGUGAAAAGGUCAUGCUACCUUGACAUUUUCUCUGUACAAAUUUCAGGGAAAAACAGAAUUUGUCUUCUGUGAUUGCAUUUCUCCAAGGAUGGAACUUUGUUGUAUCAAUAAUACAAAUAAUAUGUGGGAGGCCGAGGCAGGUGGAUCACUUGAGAUCAGGAGUUUCAGACCAGCCUGGCCAACAUGGCAAAACCCCCUCUCUACCAUAAAAACAGAAACACUAGCUGGGCGUGGUGGCGUGUGCCCAUCAUCUCAGCCACUCAGGAGGCUGAAACAGGAGGAUCGCUUGAGCCCAUGAGGUUGCACUGAGCCAGGAUCAUGCCAUUGCACUCAGCCUAGGCAACAGAGCAAGACCUUGUCUCAAUAAUAAUAUACGAAUAAUAGUUGCGGAUACUGAGGCCUUGGGGCACCGAGGGAUUGGUGUGCAUUGUUCAUGAGGGUCCACAGCACCUUUCAGAGUUGGUAUGAUGCCUGUUUCAUGGAAUAAAAACUGAAGCCUAG
RNAcentral lists this small RNA (2093 nucleotides) under Pongo abelii (Sumatran orangutan). RNAcentral describes it as "retained intron". Lineage: Eukaryota; Metazoa; Chordata; Mammalia; Primates; Hominidae. The record is from RNAcentral.